CAGCCGCCGCGGGAAAACGGAGGAUCCGAGCGUUAUCCGGAAUUAUUGGGUUUAAAGGGUGCGUAGGCGGAUAGAUAAGUCAGUGGUGAAAGACGGUGGCUCAACCAUCGCAGUGCCGUUGAUACUGUUUAUCUUGAAUAUGGAUGAGGUAGGCGGAAUGUGGCAAGUAGCGGUGAAAUGCAUAGAUAUGCCACAGAACACCGAUUGCGAAGGCAGCUUACCAAGGCAAAAUUGACGCUGAGGCACGAAAGCGUGGGGAUCGAACAGGAUUAGAUACCCGUGUAGUCCCUGUCUCUUAUAC
RNAcentral lists this ribosomal RNA (301 nucleotides) under uncultured bacterium. Its description in RNAcentral is "partial 16S ribosomal RNA". It matches the Rfam family "Bacterial small subunit ribosomal RNA", at positions 509 to 807 of the family's 1533-position model. The record is from RNAcentral.